This is a long non-coding RNA of Panonychus citri (citrus red mite), 411 nucleotides long. RefSeq lists it as uncharacterized. The transcript is spliced from 3 exons. The record is from RefSeq and is a predicted model, not a curated record. NCBI's taxonomy places the organism in Eukaryota, Metazoa, Arthropoda, Arachnida, Trombidiformes, Tetranychidae.
UUUCAAUUGUUGAGAUUAUUGAUUAUCCAUGUUGUUGGCUUAAUUAAAUUGAUACAAUUUGAUGACAAUCAGUCAAUUCUUGAGAUCGUAAAGUGGAUUAAUUAAGUAUCAUCAGCAUUAAUUAACCACUGGACAUUAAAGUUGUUGAUUUGUGAAUACAAUAGAUAAUCAAAGGUCAAAAUUGGACGAUAUUGGUUCACGUCGUCCCGCCAUCGACCUUGAUGAAGGUCUUAUAUUCCGCUGGAUUAAACAAUUAAGAGUAAUAACAAUUAAUCAUCUACUAUGAUUUGGUUAAAUUGUGUUCAUGGGGAAACAAUUAACCAGCAAUUAACUUACCAUGUACAUUGAAUCGGUUAAUUCAAUCCUAUUCUUAAGGUAACCAUUUUCAAAGACUGUUGAUUUUGAUCUGAA